AUCAAUUCUAAGUCCAAAAUGGGGGUUGCAAGAAUUCUUGUUAUUGUUGACAAUUUAAGGAGCUUUAAUAAGAUUUUUGCAGUAGAAAUUAGUAAUCGCAGGUAUCAUAUUUUCGUUCAAGAUGAGCUUGGUGGAUCUUUAUCGUUAUUCAAUUGUGGUACGUUCUUAGGCAAUGUUGCUCCAAGGUAUGUUCAAUUCUCUGAUAACAAUAUCUCUUGUGCUUACUCGAGUAAUGCUGAUGUUUCAAGUGAGCCCUCUCAAGAGAAUAUCUUGGUUAUGGAUUCGGUGGGGGAUUACGCCCAAGGUGAGAAUUCUCUUCAUG
This 322-nucleotide long non-coding RNA is filed under the name Manihot esculenta (cassava). RNAcentral describes it as "long non-coding RNA (MESC_LNC003333)". Lineage: Eukaryota; Viridiplantae; Streptophyta; Magnoliopsida; Malpighiales; Euphorbiaceae. The record is from RNAcentral.